GGAAGAAUGGAGCUUCCUAAAUCUUAGGAUCUACAAUUAUGCCACCGGAUCUAAAGGGAAAGGGGAAAAUGAAGGCACAAGUCGCUGUUUCUGUUUAUUCAGAUUCUUCGGAGGACACUGGCUUCACACAAGGAAGCACCCUGAGAAUCACAGUGAGCCAUGGUGUGGACGAAGACUCAGGGCCCAGGGCUCAGAGCUUUCAGUGUGUGGCCUGGGGAAAGCUGCAGCACUUCUCUGACCCUCAAUUUCUGGAUCCGUGAAAUGGACAUGAUAACACCUGCCCUGCUUACAUUACUGCGUUGCCAGAAGAACUGCUCCAAGUGAAGUUUGUGAACAGUGAAACUUCAUGUAUGUCAUGAGUACAAUAGGAUUGUGAUAUCAGUGUCACGCUCAAAAACACACUCUGGAAGAUCCCUCAGGUGCCUCAGAGACUGCUAAGGUGGGCAAGAGGAGUGACAGUGGCUUCAGGUCACCCGCCUCUCCUUCAAGCAAGGCAUCCUGGUGUACUGGCCUGGGAAUCUGUGAUCUAAGGAGUGAACUAGGGGAAGGGAUCUACCAUUUCAAAGAACAAUAGUUCACAAGUUUGAAAUGUUCAAAUGGAGUCCAGCACUCAAUUUAUCAAGAACUUGAGGCCAAGAGAGUUUAAAUGACAUUUCCCAGUUCCCGUAUGGAGUUUGUGACAGAGCUGGGACAUGGGCCCAUUCACGUGACCCCCACCCAUGCUCUUCUGACUGUGCUCCCUCCUUCAGAGGCAGGGCUCAGAUAAAUCAUACUUAUGACCUGAGAGCUUCUGUUGUUCUUUAUGAUUCACUGAUCAACCAUGAACGAAGAAACAAAUGCUGGAAUUUUGGUGACAGCAUAUUGGUGAUUCUCUCCAGGAGACUGCGGUCUCGCAAAGAAUCAGAGACCAAGGGAGGGCAGCUUCCUCAGAGAUUCUGUAGCCCAGCUCAUUCAUCUUUAUAGAUGACAAAAUUCAGCUCAGAAAGGAGCUUCACAUGCAGGUGCCGGACGCGCUCCGUCUGCACGGUGGGGUAGAAGGACGCGGACACCAAGAUUUUAAGCUGCGUCAGGAUGGAGGACAGCAGUCCCAGCACCACUAGUAUCACAAGAAUAAUGCUGAGAGGAACCCAGGUCUUAGACAGAAGGAGCUUUGGCUCGGGGAUGCAGUUCUGCAAGUCAGAAGUCUAAAAUGAGUCCAGAGAGCUAAUGUUCCUUCUGGAGGCUCCAGGGAAGAAUCCAUUUCUCACCCUUUCCAGCAACUGGAAGCUCUUGGACUCUCCUCCAUUUCAAAGCCAGCAAUGUUGCACCUUCUUUCCUCUCAGACCUCUGCUGCCAUCCUUAUAUCCUUUUGGGACUCGGAUUCUCUUGCCUCCCUUUAGAAGGAUCCCUGUGAUUAUAUUGGGCCCACCCAGAUGAACCUGGAUCAUCUCCCCAUCUCAAGGUCCUUAGCUUAAUCCCAUAUGUAGAGACCCUAUCACUAUGUAAAAUAACAUAUUAACAGGCUCUGGGCCUUAGGACAUGGACAGCUUGGGUGUGGGGGGACGUGAAUGAGCCCAUCUCACCAGAUUUGGCUCUAACCAAUAGCCAGCCAAUAGCCAAUCAACUGCCAAACACCUGAAGGGGGCCCUCCUAGACCAGCCAGUCACCAGGCAGCCCAUCAGCUGAGCACAGCUACUUGAGUAGUAAGAAAUGCUUAUUUAUCUUAAGUCA
Molecule: long non-coding RNA, 1710 nt
Organism: Neofelis nebulosa (Clouded leopard)
Lineage: Eukaryota; Metazoa; Chordata; Mammalia; Carnivora; Felidae
Exons: 5
Source: RefSeq, a predicted model, not a curated record